CCCUUAGAUGUUCUGGGCUGCACGCGCGCUACACUGACCAGUGCAACAAGCAUCCGUCCUUGGCCGACAGGCCCGGGCAAUCUUUGAACGCUGGUCGUGAUGGGGAUAGACUUUUGCAAUUUUUGGUCUUCAACGAGGAAUUCCUAGUAAACGCAAGUCAUCAACUUGCAUUGAUUACGUCCCUGCCCUUUGUACACACCGCCCGUCGCACCUACCGAUUGAAUGGUCCGGUGAAGCCUCCGGAUUGGCGCGCACCUCGGUGCCGCCGAGAAGUUGGCUAAACCUUACCAUUUAGAGGAAGGUGAANUCGUANCA
RNAcentral lists this ribosomal RNA (315 nucleotides) under uncultured eukaryote. Its description in RNAcentral is "partial 18S ribosomal RNA". It matches the Rfam family "Eukaryotic small subunit ribosomal RNA", at positions 1470 to 1796 of the family's 1831-position model. The record is from RNAcentral.